UGUCUGUACAUUACUGAAGUGUGAAUAUAUGGUGUUUAACAUGUGUUUUGUAGUUUUAUACUUUCAUAAGAUAUAUAUUGUAGUGAUUUCAUUUUUUGUUAAAGUAGUGGCUCAUACUGUAUGUAGUAGUAGCCACUUAACGUAUGUAUUCAAUGUCUUGUAUAUAGGAAGUAUCUCAUGUGUAUAUAACAUACCUCAUAAUAUCGCAGUUUGAUUAAACAAAACAUUAUAUUCAAUUUAUACAUAGAUCAAAGAAUCCCCUGACUUUGAAUUCAUUAUUGAAAUUAUAUUCAAAUAUUGCAAUGAAAGUUUCCAUAUCAAGACAACGCAUGGUUUAAGAUAUAGUUUCCUGUUUCACCUUACAUGUUUUUUUGCGAAAGAAUCUUUUGUUUUAUUCAAGUAUUGAAAUUGGAUGUUUUCUGCUGUUGAUUGAUUUAAUAUCAGUCGAACUAGUAACAUAAGUAAAUCUGUUGGCUCUGUAAGUUGUUUAGUUCCACAUCUUACUCAGCCUUCUGUAACAGUUAAAACGCUACACCAAUAUACAGUUGUACAGUUAAAUACUGUUGACUUGUCAUAAAAUUGAAUCACACCCAUUUGCACCAGAAUUGACAAAUUUUUACUUUGUUUACUUUUAACAUAUUUGCUGC
RNAcentral lists this long non-coding RNA (647 nucleotides) under Mytilus galloprovincialis (Mediterranean mussel). The record is from RNAcentral. Lineage: Eukaryota; Metazoa; Mollusca; Bivalvia; Mytilida; Mytilidae.